RNAcentral lists this ribosomal RNA (460 nucleotides) under uncultured bacterium. Its description in RNAcentral is "partial 16S ribosomal RNA". It matches the Rfam family "Bacterial small subunit ribosomal RNA", at positions 338 to 795 of the family's 1533-position model. The record is from RNAcentral.
CCUACGGGAGGCAGCAGUGAGGAAUAUUGGUCAAUGGGCGCGAGCCUGAACCAGCCAAGUAGCGUGAAGGAUGACUGCCCUACGGGUUGUAAACUUCUUUUAUAAAGGAAUAAAGUGAGGCACGUGUGCCUUUUUGUAUGUACCAUAUGAAUAAGCAUCGGCUAACUCCGUGCCAGCAGCCGCGGUAAUACGGAGGAUGCGAGCGUUAUCCGGAUUUAUUGGGUUUAAAGGGUGCGUAGGUGGUUAAUUAAGUCAGCGGUGAAAGUUUGUGGCUCAACCAUAAAAUUGCCGUUGAAACUGGUUGACUUGAGUAUAUUUGAGGUAGGCGGAAUGCGUGGUGUAGCGGUGAAAUGCAUAGAUAUCACGCAGAACUCCGAUUGCGAAGGCAGCUUACUAAACUAUAACUGACACUGAAGCACGAAAGCGUGGGGAGCAAACAGGAUUAGAUACCCGGGUAGUC